AUUGGAAUAGCUAAGCGGUAUAGCAAUCAUUAAUGAUGGGUCGUAGGUUCGAUUCCUACUUUCAGUA
RNAcentral lists this transfer RNA (67 nucleotides) under Empedobacter falsenii. RNAcentral describes it as "Wautersiella falsenii tRNA". It matches the Rfam family "tRNA". Rfam says of the family: Transfer RNA (tRNA) molecules are approximately 80 nucleotides in length. Their secondary structure includes four short double-helical elements and three loops (D, anti-codon, and T loops). Lineage: Bacteria; Pseudomonadati; Bacteroidota; Flavobacteriia; Flavobacteriales; Weeksellaceae. The record is from Rfam by way of RNAcentral.